GCCGACAAGUCGAAGAAUCGAGUUCCGGAAGGAGCGAGCUAUCCCGCCUCGGCUACAGGACAUCAAUACGUGACAUUUGGGUGCGAUAGCCAACGAUUCUCGCCGACUAUCAUCCUGCUCGAGUUACCAUGGUUAUUGGUAUCACGGCUACGCCAUUUGGGAAGCAACUCAGGAAUAUGUAAAUGUUGAGUUCAAAGCGACGGUUGAUAGCAUCUAUAUCAGGUGUGUAUGUUUCGUACUAGAUUACACUCGCGAUCUUAAGUUUAUUUUUGAAGAGUUGAGUUCUUGGAUUUUUGAUUUUGUUGCAUUUGUUUUCAAGAAUUAUAAGCUAGGUUAGGUUGAUUGUUGCAUUGCCUGAAGCUUUGGGAGGUUCGACGGAUGAAUGAAUCCAUUACGAAUCGCAUGUUUUUCAGAGGAAUCAUAGUUACUUGAUGAUUAAUCAGAUUCAAUGAUUUGCGACAUUACUGAAGAUUCUUCCAUUAUAUGUUAUUGUGUGUAUUUGUUGUAGUGGAUGAAUGUUACCAGAUGGGAGAUGCGGCGAAACCAUUUGGUAGAACUCUUUGAUUUCUUUUGCAGGCGUGUCAUACUGCUCAAGCCAGUCCGGAAGAGGCAGAACAAGUGAUUCAUUGAUGCAUUCAGAUGAUUAGCACAGGCCAGCAAAAACCGAGACAAAACCAUUAGAAAUUUUCUAUGAGAAGGAGCAAAUAAUGAAGGGGGUAGCUACCUAGUGAAUUUGGCAAAAGUCAUUGCUCCUUUGUUCUUGGGAUGUCUCAGCAUCGGCAACGUUGGAAAGAAAAAUGCUGCUAUUUCAGUGGCUUUGGCAUUACACAUAAAAAGGAACUGCUCUAUGGAAAAGCAUUAUUAGAAGCAAAUAUGAUCACAAGGGCCCUUCAUAGCUAGAUUCUUCCCAAACUAAAUGGAUUUGGAAGGAACACAGCCCCAAGAAGGUACUUUUUUUUUGUUUGUUAGUUGGCUCAUUGUAGUCUCAACACCACGGACAGGGUUCAAUGGACAAAUUUCAUGUGACAGCUCGAGUCCACCGCUAGUAUAUAUUGUCCUCUUUGGGCUUUCCUUCAUAGUUUUUAAAACGUGUCUGUUAGAGAGAGGUU
Molecule: non-coding RNA, 1109 nt
Organism: Cucurbita pepo subsp. pepo (vegetable marrow)
Lineage: Eukaryota; Viridiplantae; Streptophyta; Magnoliopsida; Cucurbitales; Cucurbitaceae
Source: RefSeq, a predicted model, not a curated record